RNAcentral lists this non-coding RNA (24 nucleotides) under Arabidopsis thaliana (thale cress). The record is from RNAcentral. Lineage: Eukaryota; Viridiplantae; Streptophyta; Magnoliopsida; Brassicales; Brassicaceae.
AGCGCGUGGCACGAGGUUGGUGCG